Non-coding RNA from Aegilops tauschii subsp. strangulata, 1843 nucleotides. The record is from RefSeq and is a predicted model, not a curated record. NCBI's taxonomy places the organism in Eukaryota, Viridiplantae, Streptophyta, Magnoliopsida, Poales, Poaceae.
UCCAGACCAAUCCAGAUCCAUCCCGUGCGACUUUCCUCCAGCCAACAAUGGAGUUCCGAUCUCAUGCGCUGGCCGCUGCCGGCGCCGUCCGCCCCUAAUGCUUCGGGUGCCUUCUGCCGCUGCAGCCACCACCACCACGACCUUGUCUCCUCUGCCCCCUUUCCCGUCUCUCCCCGCCAUAUUCUCCGGCCACCUCCCACAUCUCCUUGGACGCCGACCGCUGCAAGUACGCCGCGGGGUACGCGCUGCACAUCCUCGCCGGCGGCGGCGCCACAUGCUACUCACUCUUCUCCAUCGACACGCUCCACGGCCACCCCCUUCAGGUACGCGCUGCUCCCUGAGGACAUCCACACCGUCUGCAUGAAGUUGGGGUUCAGAUCGCCGUCAUCGUCACCGCCGGCCAUUAAUCAGUUCGCUAGGAUGUAUUUCACGCCCGUCGUUCCUCGCACUUACUUAGCCUGAUCUAUCAAAUCGCAGUACUAGCGCUUUCUGUGGUCUCACAUCACAGUUUUCUCUGCCCAAACUGCAGGAGGCAUGAAGAGAUUGGCUAUAGACCAGGCAGGAGAAUAGGGGAUAGGAAAAUGCAAAAAAUUGCCAGGCAAUAUAUGUUCUCUUGCACGUUUGAAUCCUGAUUUGGAUUAUCCUACAGAUUUGAAUAUUUUUAUCAUACCAAUUAGCUUUUUAUUUUUUCGUGAGUAUAAUGAUAUGCCUGAUGCCCAAGGUUGUGCUUUUCCUCCUCAUAGUCCAAGUUACUCGAAAAUAGAUAUCAUAGCCCUGUAUUUGAUUGCAGUAGAAGUAUCAUAGAUUCAUCUCCACAUAUACCCCAUCUGUGGGUGUCAAGCCAAUCACCCUGAUUCCUAUAUGCUAGCCUGAGUUGUGAAUCGUUGUCUCCUUAGGACUGUUAACCUAGAAAUUCUCAAAAUAAAGCAAAACAUCAAGCCCUUGAUCAUGUGGACCCUUACUUCAAAAAGCAUGGAUGUGAUCUAAUAUAAGCUUAUUCUUUGAUUUUCCACCGAGAUUCCUCACGCUGUGCACAGAUGAAGGAUGUUGGGCCAUUUAGAUGCCUUCUUCAGCGCGCCGUCAUCCUCUCCUCCUCUAGCCAACAUCGAUGGCAUUUCGGCGUUGAGGAGAAAGUAUCGUGUCACAUAUAUGCUUCUUGAUUCCCUGGAUUCUGGAUCUCCUUGGGAAAAAGUAGGUGAAUGAUUUUCAAAGGCUGUAGCUAAUGGAGACUGUAGCACGCUGGUAUAGUGUCAGGUCCUGACGAUCAUGAGUGUGUUGCAUGCCUGGGGACUGGCUCGUUGUGUGAAGUGACCCAGUGGCCGACGUGGGUGAGGACCUGUAGACCGGGCACAAUGGUGAGGAUGAACGAGAAUGUGCUGGCGCCUGUGCGCGCCACCACGCCCACCGCCAGCUCCAGCCGCGGGCUGCAGCAGCACAUCAUCCCGCUGCUUGACGUCAGAAUUCUCGUCUGCGGUGGUGAGGCAGAGACGGCGCUCGAGGGUAGGGGCUUGGACGCCGAGGCCGAGCGAGGGGAUGGCGAGGAGCUUGAAGACGAGUUGGUUGACGUGCUGGCCUGGGAGCUCUGGUCGGCGGCGUCAAAGGCGCUGAUGUCGCCGAUGGGGAUGGACGGUGGGCCUGGUCAUACGGCCGAUUACGUUAUUACAGUUCAUUAGAGUAACCAAACAAAUUCUGUUUUUUCUCCAUUCCCUUUACAGUAACUGUAUAACUCGAUUGUGUUUGCGUUUGCGUUAAGUUCCUUGCACCGAACACCUCCUAGGUGUAUACGCGAGCAGCAAUUACGAAAACAGUAGAUGAUGUGCAAUUAGCAGUUUAUUAUGCCUUA